AGGUUGUGGCUCAGUGGUAGAGCACUUCCCUACCAUGCAUGAGGGGCUGGGUUCAAUCCCAGGCACCACCUA
RNAcentral lists this transfer RNA (72 nucleotides) under Marmota monax (woodchuck). Its description in RNAcentral is "tRNA.Gly". It matches the Rfam family "tRNA". From Rfam's summary of the family: Transfer RNA (tRNA) molecules are approximately 80 nucleotides in length. Their secondary structure includes four short double-helical elements and three loops (D, anti-codon, and T loops). Further hydrogen bonds mediate the characteristic L-shaped molecular structure. tRNAs have two regions of fundamental functional importance: the anti-codon, which is responsible for specific mRNA codon recognition, and the 3' end, to which the tRNAs corresponding amino acid is attached (by aminoacyl-tRNA synthetases). tRNAs cope with the degeneracy of the genetic code in two manners: having more than one tRNA (with a specific anti-codon) for a particular amino acid; and 'wobble' base-pairing, i.e. permitting non-standard base-pairing at the 3rd anti-codon position. The record is from RNAcentral. Lineage: Eukaryota; Metazoa; Chordata; Mammalia; Rodentia; Sciuridae.